GAUGAACGCUGGCGGCGUGCAUAACACAUUCAAGUCGAACGGUGAUGAGGACUUCGGUCCUCUGAUCAGUGGCGGACGGGUGAGUAACGCGUGAGCAACCUGCCCUAUAUUGCGGGAUAACAACCGGAAACAGUUGCUAAUACCGCAUGACGUAUUCGGAUCGCAUGUUCUGAAUACCAAAGAAUUUUGAUAUAGGAUGGGCUCGCGUCCGAUUAGGCAGUUGGUGGGGUAACGGCCCACCAAACCGACGAUCGGUAGCCGAACUGAGAGGUUGAACGGCCACAUUGGAACUGAGAUACGGUCCAG
RNAcentral lists this ribosomal RNA (306 nucleotides) under uncultured bacterium. RNAcentral describes it as "bacterial SSU rRNA". It matches the Rfam family "Bacterial small subunit ribosomal RNA", at positions 28 to 334 of the family's 1533-position model. The record is from RNAcentral.